AUUGAACGCUGGCGGCAGGCCUAACACAUGCAAGUCGAACGAGUGGCGGACGGGUGAGUAAUGUCUGGGAAACUGCCCGAUGGAGGGGGGUAACUACUGGAAACGGUAGCUAAUACCGCAUACCAUCGGAUGUGCCCAGAGGGGAUUAGCUAGUAGGGGGGGUAACGGCUCACCUAGGCGACGAUCCCUAGCUGGUCUGAGAGGAUGACCAGCCACACGGGAACGGAGCACCGGUCCAGACUCCUACGGGUGGCAGCCGUGGGAAAUAUUGCACAAUGGGGGCAAGCCUGAUGCAGCCAUGCCGCGUGUAUGAAGAAGGCCUUCGGGAUGUAAAGUACUUUCAGCGAGGAGGCGUUACUCGCAGAAGAAGCACCGGCUAACUCCGUGCCAGCGGCCGCGGUAAUAC
This 406-nucleotide ribosomal RNA is filed under the name uncultured bacterium. RNAcentral's name for it is "partial 16S ribosomal RNA". It matches the Rfam family "Bacterial small subunit ribosomal RNA", at positions 29 to 526 of the family's 1533-position model. The record is from RNAcentral.